GGCAUUUCCAUGCUCGAAAGGGAAAUGGUGAGCUGAGCUAAGAAUGUUGAAAAAAUUAUGCAGAAGAAGAAAAGGGCCAAGACUUAUCUUGCCGUGGACUCUCCUACUCCUGCACUGAAGAAAGCCAAAGAGACUGAGCCAUUGGUUUCUCCAGUUGGUGGUGAUUAGCAGGUGAUUCCUCCAAUUACAGAAGCUAGUGCUGAUGCUAUUUUGCCUAUAAUCUCUCUACCUGCUGCUCAAUAGACUGUCAAGCAGCUUUUGUCUAUGUAGUUAAUGGUAAAGAAUUUCAAGCUCGCUGUUUAGUUUGCUAAGCGAUACACCCUUUUAAUCGACCGAGCUUGCCUCCAUGUUGAUGAUGAUAAUGAGCUCACCCUUCAAGCUGUGACUUUGCAAAUCAAGUAAAUAGCUUGUUCUCAGCUGCUUCGUGAGCAUAAUAGAGCUUUAAUGGGGUAUGCUAGUGCAUAGGAAAUAGAGAUUGCUCUGUUGACUGAGUGUGAGCAGGAGGGUGAGCUACAAAAGUUAAAAGAAAAGGUGAAGGGACUCGAGGCUGAGCUAAAGAUUGCCCAGGAAGAGAAAACUGACAUGAAGAAGAAAAUUGAAAUGAAAAUACUGAGCUCACUGCCACUAACGAGUGUUUAGCUGACAUCUAAGUAAAAGCCCAGAACAACAUUGUCGUUGAACUAUAGCGCCGUUAUUCGAGAGAUGAUUUC
RNAcentral lists this unclassified non-coding RNA (710 nucleotides) under Hevea brasiliensis (rubber tree). Lineage: Eukaryota; Viridiplantae; Streptophyta; Magnoliopsida; Malpighiales; Euphorbiaceae. The record is from RNAcentral.